CCUUCUGUAGCUGCAGGGAGAAAUCAGAGGACGCCGCAAAACUUCUUGGCUUGCUCAGAUAUCCUCUUGGGUCCCUGAGCACCCAGGCGCGGAUUUCACAGUUCGGGCUACCCAAGGGGGACCCUUCACUCGACCAGUUUGAAAAACCUACAGAACUCCCUGUGCUGGGAUCUGAAAGCUCUAAGGUUCCAAGAACAGGACGGGGAAUCCCCGGUUCCCUUCAUAGAUUCCCCACAAAGCAAGCUGAUGCCCCAUGCUUUCUCAGUCCAAUUGCCCGAGACCUAUGCCCAAGUCGCGGGGUGUCUCUGCCUGCCCUCCCGAUCAGAGGAUCCAAGCAUUCUGCAUCCCAGCAGCCAGUCCUUCCCGCAGCCCAGAGCCAAAGGCUCGGGUUCCAAGUUCCCGCGACUGGCUGGGAGAAGGGAGCAGGGAAGGCGCCUGGCUAGGAAAGUCUGUGCGGGAGGCGCCCCCGGUCGGGGCAGCUAUCUCUCCAUUUGGCCAACCAAGGGGACCCGCGGCAUCAGUCCCUACCAGCUGGGGCACAGUGCGGCCG
Molecule: long non-coding RNA, 550 nt
Filed under: Rattus norvegicus (Norway rat)
Lineage: Eukaryota; Metazoa; Chordata; Mammalia; Rodentia; Muridae
Description: long non-coding RNA NONRATT008672
Source: RNAcentral